This 598-nucleotide ribosomal RNA is filed under the name uncultured bacterium. RNAcentral describes it as "bacterial SSU rRNA". It matches the Rfam family "Bacterial small subunit ribosomal RNA", at positions 258 to 866 of the family's 1533-position model. The record is from RNAcentral.
UAAUGGCCUACCAAGGCGUCGACGGGUAGCCGGCCUGAGAGGGCGACCGGCCACACUGGGACUGAGACACGGCCCAGACUCCUACGGGAGGCAGCAGUGGGGAAUAUUGCGCAAUGGACGAAAGUCUGACGCAGCAACGCCGCGUGAGGGAUGACGGCCUUCGGGUUGUAAACCUCUUUCAGCAGGGACGAAGCGAGAGUGACGGUACCUGCAGAAGAAGGACCGGCCAACUACGUGCCAGCAGCCGCGGUAAUACGUAGGGUCCGAGUGUUGUCCGGAAUUAUUGGGCGUAAAGGGCUCGUAGGCGGUUCGUCACGUCGGGAGUGAAAACUCGGCGCUCAACUCCGAGCCUGCUUCCGAUACGGGCAGACUAGAGGUAGGCAGGGGAGAGCGGAACUCCUGGUGUAGCGGUGGAAUGCGCAGAUAUCAGGAAGAACACCGGUGGCGAAGGCGGCUCUCUGGGCCUUACCUGACGCUGAGGAGCGAAAGCGUGGGUAGCGAACAGGAUUAGAUACCCUGGUAGUCCACGCCGUAAACGUUGGGCGCUAGGUGUGGGGGACAUUCCACGUCCUCCGUGCCGCAGCUAACGCAUUACGCG